GCCCGGUUAGCUCAGCUGGUUAGAGCGUGGUACUAAUACCGGGUUACCCCCGUAUAUGGUAUAUGCCAAGGUCAACAGUUCAAUCCUGUUACUGGGCA
Non-coding RNA from Parathielavia hyrcaniae, 98 nucleotides. NCBI's taxonomy places the organism in Eukaryota, Fungi, Ascomycota, Sordariomycetes, Sordariales, Chaetomiaceae. The record is from the annotation of a GenBank genome assembly.